RNAcentral lists this ribosomal RNA (443 nucleotides) under uncultured soil bacterium. RNAcentral's name for it is "bacterial SSU rRNA". It matches the Rfam family "Bacterial small subunit ribosomal RNA", at positions 26 to 465 of the family's 1533-position model. The record is from RNAcentral.
AGGAUGAACGCUAGCGGCAGGCUUAAUACAUGCAAGUCGAGGGGCAGCAGCUUUAUAGCAAUAUAGAGGCUGGCGACCGGCAAACGGGUGCGGAACACGUACACAACCUUCCUUGAAUAGGGGGAUAGCCCAUAGAAAUGUGGAUUAAUACCCCGUAAUAUAGCGGUGUGGCAUCACACUGUUAUUAUAGUUUCGGCGAUUCGAGAUGGGUGUGCGGCUGAUUAGGUAGUUGGCGGGGUAAAGGCCCACCAAGCCUUCGAUCAGUAGCUGAUGUGAGAGCAUGAUCAGCCACACGGGCACUGAGACACGGGCCCAUCCUACGGGAGGCAGCAGUAAGGAUAUUGUCAAUGGACGCAAGUCUAGAACCAGCCAUGCCGCGUGAAGGAUGAAGGUCCUCUGAUUGUAAACUUCUUUAGUAGGGACGUAAAAAGGUCUUACUAGAU